This 278-nucleotide ribosomal RNA is filed under the name Pseudomonas sp. BAB1516. RNAcentral describes it as "partial 16S ribosomal RNA". It matches the Rfam family "Bacterial small subunit ribosomal RNA", at positions 200 to 478 of the family's 1533-position model. The record is from RNAcentral. Lineage: Bacteria; Pseudomonadati; Pseudomonadota; Gammaproteobacteria; Pseudomonadales; Pseudomonadaceae.
AGCAAGGACCUCGGCCUCGCGCUAUAGUAGAGCCAAGUCCGAUAGCUAGUGUGAGUAUGCCUCAACCAAGGCGACGAUCCGUACUGGUCUGAGAGGAUGAUCAGUCACACUGGAACUGAGACACGGUCCAGACUCUACGGGAGGCAGCAGUGGGGAAUAUUGGACAAUGGGCGAAAGCCUGAUCCAGCCAUGCCGCGUGUGUGAAGAAGGUCUUCGGAUUGUAAAGCACUUUAAGUUGGGAGGAAGGCAGUAAGUUAAUACCUUGCUGUUUGACGUAC